CAGGUGGUGCAUGGUUGUCGUCAGCUCGUGUCGUGAGAUGUUGGGUUAAGUCCCGCAACGAGCGCAACCCUUGUCGCUAGUUACCAUCAUUAAGUUGGGGACUCUAGCGAGACUGCCUCUGCAAGGAGGAGGAAGGCGGGGAUGACGUCAAAUCAUCAUGCCCCUUAUGACCUGGGCUACACACGUGCUACAAUGGACGGAUCAAAGGGAAGCGAAGCCGCGAGGUGGAGCGAAACCCAAAAACCCGUUCUCAGUUCGGACUGCAGUCUGCAACUCGACUGCACGAAGUUGGAAUCGCUAGUAAUCGCGAAUCAGAAUGUCGCGGUGAAUACGUUCUCGGGCCUUGUACACACCGCCCGUCACACCAUGAGAGUUGGUAACACCCGAAGCCGGUGGCUUAACCGCAAGGAGAGAGCUGUCUAAGGUGGGACUGAUGAUUAGGGUGAAGUCGUAACAAGGUAUCCCUACGGGAACGUGCGGUUGGAUCACCUC
RNAcentral lists this ribosomal RNA (492 nucleotides) under uncultured bacterium. RNAcentral's name for it is "bacterial SSU rRNA". It matches the Rfam family "Bacterial small subunit ribosomal RNA", at positions 1035 to 1529 of the family's 1533-position model. The record is from RNAcentral.